Molecule: long non-coding RNA, 1318 nt
Filed under: Citrus maxima (pomelo)
Lineage: Eukaryota; Viridiplantae; Streptophyta; Magnoliopsida; Sapindales; Rutaceae
Description: long non-coding RNA (CMAX_LNC003863)
Source: RNAcentral
CAAAAUUUCUAAGGUGUAGAGAGUGAAAAAUAAGAGUUGUAAUUGGUGAGGAGUGUUGUUGAAGAAAUAAAAUAGUGUGUGUUUUGUGUGUUUUAUUUGUUAAUUCUCCAACAUGUAAUUCUCUGCAGGGGCAAUAUCACUAGCAAAUGAAGGCGAACAGGCCUGGUUCUAACACUCUUAGCAGUGCUGCCCAAUUUAUACAGAAUUUUGAUAUUUUAAGAAUCUGACUCUGUCAAGAAAUCAAGUUCAUUGAUUCUCUGUUAAAUUUCUUGAAUGUGCUGAAAAAUUUAAGAUGGAGAGGUUAGGCAAUUCGUGCUUGUCAGAGUGAGUGAGCCUAUAAGGCCUCAUAUAAUCCAAAACCGGGACCAUGACCGGUUCAGUUGCCUGUCUAGCAAAUAUUAACUUUUCGAGUUCUCUUUUCUAUAAAGUGCAUCAAAGCUUUAUACCUUUUUCAGGUGAACAAGAAGAGACACGCUUCGUAUAUUCAUUUCUAUCUAAUAAAUAACAUGGUGCGUCCGGAAACCUUCAAUUGGAUGCAUACAGUUCUGCUGCGACAAAGCAUACAUUGACUCUAGGAUUAUACAAGCCAGGGACCGUGUUAUGAGCCUAACAACAAUUACUCCCACGCUUCAGUUGUCACGCAUCUCUACAAGUCCAAUAACAAGCUAACCCACACAUAUGAUUUCAUGCAGCGUGGUCUGAUUAUCUCUCAGGACCCACGUAAACUUGAAAAUUUCCCUUUUUGCCACUAAAUUAUUAUCUAUAAACUUACACUUUGAAUCUGCAUUCUAUAUAUCAAAACUAAGAACGUAAAGAUAUAAUAUACACGAUUGUCAUGUCUUAUUGUGUAGCUGUUGGAAAAUGCAUAUAUGAACAUGCUAAUGGGGAGGAAAUCCUUUAGUGAUUUUUCAUAUUAAAUAAAAUUGGAUGAUUGAAAAGUAAAAUUUUACCUUGCUUAUAGCUAAUGAAUUGUAUGUGCUUCCGUAUGAAUUUAUGAGCUUUCUCACUGAAAAUAAACAAACAUUGAUUCGCUGAUUUUAGUGCCAUGAUGAUGCCAUUAUGGAUGAGUAAGGGUAUCACAAUUUCAAAUUAAAACUUCUUUGAUGAGAUUGAAGACAAAACUGUCACAGGCACAUGGGAAGAGGUAUAUUCAGAUCCUAUUUAAUUUUCCGUCGGACCGAUCACAAGAGCUCGAGCAAAGAAAUUCAAAGAAGCGCUUAAUGGGUUGAUUCAAGCAACUUGGGCUCAAUCAAAUUCGUGGAGGCCUGUUAAAGGAAUCACACACGAUAAAUGCAUGAUUCAGACUCUUGAAGUUUCC